GACGAACGCUGGCGGCGUGCUUAACACAUGCAAGUCGAACGGUAAGGCCCUUUCGGGGGUACACGAGUGGCGAACGGGUGAGUAACACGUGGGUGAUCUGCCCUGCACUUUGGGAUAAGCCUGGGAAACUGGGUCUAAUACCGGAUAGGACUACGCGAUGCAUGUCGUGUGGUGGAAAGCUUUUGCGGUGUGGGAUGGGCCCGCCGCCUAUCAGCUUGUUGGUGGGGUGAUGGCCUACCAAGGCGACGACGGGUAGCCGGCCUGAGAGGGUGUCCGGCCACACUGGGACUGAGAUACGGCCCAGACUCCUACGGGAGGCAGCAGUGGGGAAUAUUGCACAAUGGGCGCAAGCCUGAUGCAGCGACGCCGCGUGGGGGAUGACGGCCUUCGGGUUGUAAACCCCUUUCAGCACAGACGAAGCGUAAGUGACGGUAUGUGCAGAAGAAGCACCGGCCAACUACGUG
This 464-nucleotide ribosomal RNA is filed under the name uncultured bacterium. Its description in RNAcentral is "partial 16S ribosomal RNA". It matches the Rfam family "Bacterial small subunit ribosomal RNA", at positions 28 to 507 of the family's 1533-position model. The record is from RNAcentral.